CACCACAGAGGGCUGCUGGUCUGGUUGAGUCUAUUCUCUCCUCUGUACCAGGACAAGAUCACAUCUUUCAGGUUCUUCACAGUGCGCACCACUGAACAGCUGGAGCUUUAGAGGAAUGAACCAUUUGUUCAGAUGGAGAAGGCUUGCCAGACUGACGUUCAUGCUGCUAUAUUUUGUCAUUAAUGUACUCUGUGCUUCCCAGCAAACAGUCCAGUCUGAGAUUCAGCAGGUAAAAAGCAUCGUGGGACAGUCUUUCUCUUUUCAAGAGAGGGUGAUCAAUUCUAGCAAUUUACUUUAUGGAGACCUUGGCAGUAUUGCAAAUGUGUACCCUGGUAAAGAAGGCAAAAUCACCCUUGAGAAGAGAUUUGAAAACCGACUCCACGUGAACAAUGUUACAAGAUACUUCACUCUGUCAGACCUUCAGAUAGACGAUGCUGGGGUUUAUACUGUGGAGAAUACAGACGAAGAGAAAAAAAGAAAAACAUUUGAGCUCACUGUAUACAAUUUUGUUUCCAAACCUCAGGUGACAGAGUGUGACAGCAGCUCCUGUAGUGUGGUGUGUUCUGUGCACAACGAAAAAGAGGUGACCUUGACCUUGUACAGGGAGAGGAAAUACUAAACCAGACCAGCAGUCCUGAUCUCACCACCGAUCUCUCUCUCUGGUUGGAGGUAGAGGGAAAGAACUACAACUCCACCUACAGCUGUGUGGCUCACAACCCUGUCAGCAAGGAGACAGUUCUUGUCCCAAAAUGUUGCAGUGAAGAUGGUCGUGCUAAUGAUGCAGACAGUGAUGGGAUGACUCUGGGUAUGGUUAUUGCUGUAACCUGCGUUUUGGUUGCCUCAGGGCUGGUUGGACUUGCAAUCUUUCUAAGGAAGAGGGGAAAUGAACACUCACAAGGCAGAUUCAGCCGAAAGAGUGCAGGUUGACAUUGAGUAUACAGAGAUAACUCCUAAAAAACGAACAGAUAACCAGGAGGAGCGAACAGAUAUACCAGAAUUGGAGUCGCGUAGAGACAACCCUAAGCUGACAUCAGUUUAUGAUACACUCCUGUUACAUCGCAUGGCUGCCAGCGGGGAUGUUGAUACAGCAUGAAAGAGGCAAAUGUGAAGUCAAUAGGAUAACUCACAUCAUGUAGGGGACAGUAUAUCAUGAAGAGGACAUUGAAACAAAACGAAAGUAAAAAAAUGAUUCACCCAGAAAACAACUGUGCCUCUAAAAGGUUAUGGGAGAAAAAUCCCCUGGAACUGUUGUGCUGAUAUUAGAAUUUCAGGCUUCCUUUGUAGGUCAUUCUCACAAACCUGUCAAAUAGAGACCUCGAUGACAUCCACUGAUAAGGACCAAUUCAAUAGCUAUCCAUUGAGUUAGUAGCAGGAUAUCCUUCUUUUCAUGUGCCUUUUUUCCCAAAUCUCAAUGUAUAGGUUAAAACAAAUGGAACAUAUAGUUUAAUACAUUUCACUAGUGUGUUUGCUAUGCUACUGCUGGACCAUCGCUUAUUUUUAGUAUGGACUGUUCUGUUUAAAUGUAGGGGCCUCCCCUGUAUCGUUUUACAGCUGAUCAUUGUUUAGCUUGCCAGUGGAUAGCAGCUGUGUACAUCAUAUAAAAAGAGCAGGCGAUUGAGAUAAAGCCACCUACUCCUUAGAAGCAAAGGCUGUUAGGCUGCUUUAGAAACAGAAGGUCCAUAGAUAAAUGUUUUCCUUUCACCGUGUAUGUUGUAUUGAAAAUAACUUUGAGGGAUAGAUCUUGAUUUAAUUAAAUUGUAAGCUCUUAAUUAGCUUGUUUGGUUUAUUAUGAUGGACCAUUUAUUGGUUGUCCCUAUCUAUGAAGCACAUCAUCCCUUAACAAUACAAUCACUCCCUCCUGCAGACUCUGUAGACUCUCCUAUCAGAGCAUGUUGUGCCCCACCUACAUUAGUGCAGCCUUUGUAUAUAUCUGUGCCAGCACAGGUUACUGUGACCCGAAAAUUCCAAAUCUGUUGAUACCAUAGUGAGUUGUUACACUGUAGGCUAUUUCAUUGUUAUACUACUCUAUUUCAGAUAUGCCAAUAACUGGGUAAACUGUCAUUCCUUGAAACCAUGGCUGCUUCUAUUACUUUAAGAGUGGCAACAUUUCACCAGAGACACAACUCCAUGUUGUGGUUUUAAUGUUGCCCACUUCUAGGGUCAAAUAGGAGGGACAACUGUAAUUGUUUGGUGGAUUCUCUAUUUAGUAAGUUUAAGUGCGUGACCUUUUGUUCUGUCGCUUUGCAUGCCAGGCAGCUAUACAUUUAAAAAAUAUAUAUUUACAAUAAUGACCGCAAAUAGUGAAUUACUAACUUUUUAUUAAAAAAUCCUAUAAUAUUUAAAGCUUUGUUUUGAGAAAACAUUGGCCUUUUCUCCCAUCUAGUGGAUGAUUGUUUUUUUUUUUUAUAUUUCAGUAUACUGUACAUAAUACACAGUGUUUCGCUCUGAGACAGGGUACUGUGAAUUGUGUAGUGUUUCUUAAAUCAUGUUCAACCAAUAUGUUCUCUAACAACCUUUCCGUGCUUUAGACUGUGGUCUCGCAUUUUUGUGCCAAUGUGCCAUUAUUUAUGACAUUAUUGUGAGUAAAAAUUAAAACAUUUGUGAAAUAUGCCAUUUUUAUUGUUUAAAUCCCAUUUGGUAGCAAAACAUGAGCCUCAUUUAUCAUUCUGUGUAUGUUAUUUAUUUUGAUUUUAAUAUUGCUGUGUUAUUGAUUAUGUAUUAUAGAUAUGUUGUGGUAGAGUAGAGUGUAAUGAUGUGUUAUGUACUGUUUUAUUUUGUGUGUAAUUGCGCAAUGGUCACUGGACCAGAUUGCGCAAUGUUGUAAUUUGUUUAACUCCAAUGAUUUGUUACAGGAAAUGAGUAACCUUCGUAUAUAAAACGCACAUUAGCUUUCCGUCUGUAGCAGCAUGGACAAAGUGGUGAGUAGCCUAACCUUAUACUUUAAUUUGAUUCCUGAUCUAUAGCAUAACUCCACAAAGUUACGAUGAAAUGUAAUUUCCUUAUCUUAUAAACUACAUUUAACCAAA
Molecule: long non-coding RNA, 3026 nt
Organism: Oncorhynchus masou masou (cherry salmon)
Lineage: Eukaryota; Metazoa; Chordata; Actinopteri; Salmoniformes; Salmonidae
Exons: 6
Source: RefSeq, a predicted model, not a curated record